RNAcentral lists this ribosomal RNA (634 nucleotides) under uncultured bacterium. RNAcentral describes it as "bacterial SSU rRNA". It matches the Rfam family "Bacterial small subunit ribosomal RNA", at positions 171 to 823 of the family's 1533-position model. The record is from RNAcentral.
GCAUAAGCGCACAGCUUCGCAUGAAGCAGUGUGAAAAACUCCGGUGGUAUACGAUGGAUCCGCGUCUGAUUAGCUGGUUGGCGGGGUAAAGGCCCACCAAGGCGACGAUCAGUAGCCGGCCUGAGAGGGUGAACGGCCACAUUGGGACUGAGACACGGCCCAAACUCCUACGGGAGGCAGCAGUGGGGAAUAUUGCACAAUGGGGGAAACCCUGAUGCAGCGACGCCGCGUGAGUGAAGAAGUAUUUCGGUAUGUAAAGCUCUAUCAGCAGGGAAGAAAAUGACGGUACCUGACUAAGAAGCCCCGGCUAACUACGUGCCAGCAGCCGCGGUAAUACGUAGGGGGCAAGCGUUAUCCGGAUUUACUGGGUGUAAAGGGAGCGUAGACGGCAGCGCAAGUCUGGAGUGAAAUCCCAUGGCUUAACCAUGGAACUGCUUUGGAAACUGUGCAGCUAGAGUGCAGGAGAGGUAAGCGGAAUUCCUAGUGUAGCGGUGAAAUGCGUAGAUAUUAGGAGGAACACCAGUGGCGAANGCGGCUUACUGGACUGUAACUGACGUUGAGGCUCGAAAGCGUGGGGAGCAAACAGGAUUAGAUACCCUGGUAGUCCACGCUGUAAACGAUGAUUACUAGGUGU